GACGAACGCUGGCGGCGUGCUUAACACAUGCAAGUCGAACGGUAAGGCCCUGCUUUGGUUGGGUGCUCGAGGAGCGAACGGGUGAGUAACACGUGAGUAACCUGCCCUUGACUUUUGGAUAACUUCAGGUAACUGGGGCUCCUACCGGAUAGUAUCUCCUGCUGCAUGGUGGGGGUUGGAAAUUUUCGCCGGUUGGGGAUGGACUCGCGGCUUAUCAGCUUGUUGGUGGGGGAGUGGCUUACCAAGGCUCUGAUGGGUAGCCGGCCUGAGAGGGUGACCGGCCACAUUGGGACUGAGAGACGGACCAGACUCCUACGGGAGGCAGCAGUGGGGAAUAUUGCACGAGGGGCGGAAGCCUGCUGCAGCAAGGCCGCGUGCGGGAUGAAGGCCUUCGGGUUGGAAACAGAUUUCGCCUGUCACGAAGCGAGAGUGACGGUAAUGGGUGAAGAAGCACCGGCUAACUACGUG
Molecule: ribosomal RNA, 468 nt
Filed under: uncultured bacterium
Lineage: Bacteria
Description: partial 16S ribosomal RNA
Rfam family: Bacterial small subunit ribosomal RNA
Source: RNAcentral